AGGAUAAUAGUUAAAUUUAACAUUUAAGUUGCAUUUAAAAAAUAUUAAUCAUUGAUUAAUUUAUCUU
Molecule: transfer RNA, 67 nt
Filed under: Cucujoidea sp. 11 KM-2017
Lineage: Eukaryota; Metazoa; Arthropoda; Insecta; Coleoptera
Description: tRNA-Ala
Source: RNAcentral